CACACGUUUGCCUUGGUGCUUAAAGAAAUACUUACGUGGGCAACUCUGGGUUAACAGUGCUGAAGUACACCUCACCCAUCACAUGGUUACAGGGCUGCUCAGAGCCACAGCACUGAAGGGGAUGAGCUAGCUGAAUGCUGCAGCGAGAAGUCCCAAAAGAGGGGCUACAGCCCCCCCUACCAUCCAGCUAAAUCUGUGCCUGUCUUAAAACAUAGACAUGCAAGGAAAGCCAUAUAUUAUACCAGUGCCCUAGGCCACGUUUUAACAUUCACACUUCAGUCUUUCUCGCUGCCUACAGGAACGAGUGUUAAAUACCAGGGGGUGAGUGGUCUUCCACCUCUGGCCUCUCCUUCCACCCUCACUUGCUUUCACUGUCCUACAGCCGGAUCAGCAUCCCAGGAGAGCAACAAGCACCAGCCAAGGCUUCAUCCAUUGAGGGCCUGGAAGGUUUCAUCCCUAUCUUGUUCUAUGGAUUUUUUCCCCUGAGGAUGAACACAGCAGAUGGCAGAGACCACGGAGAAGAUGGAGGUCAGCAUACGCGACUUUGACCUAUGUUGUGAGUUCAUACAAGAAUCAGAGGAGUGACUUAGCUUCAUCCUCCUUUUUGAACAAGGUUGAAGUACUAGUGCAGCUUUAAGUGUUCCAAAGAAAGUACCAAAGCAUGUGAAGUUCCCUGAUUUGUUGUUGUUUGCUGUUGUUGUUUGUUUCUGUCUACCUGAAUUCUCAGUCUGUCUCCAAAGAAAGGUGUUCAAACAGGGUCAGCAACCUGAGUACUUCAAAAGCACAUGGAAGUCCUGCAGCAUGAGCUUUCUCCCAGAAAGCUAGUGCAAGAGUGGGUGGUUUUAUGAAAAUUGCUUGAAUGCGGGACUGGUCUUCAGAAAAGAAUUCUGCAAAAUGCCUGGUGGACAUGUAGACAAUAGGGGAGUGUCUGCAAUAACAAUGGAAAGCACUUUCCCUAAUGGGAAACAUCCUCAUCAUUCAUAACAUAUCCUUGCGCUAUGUGGUUCUUCGGGUGUUGAAAUGUAGGGUGGAUCCAAAACCCUGAGUGCAGCUGAUCCAAGUUAUCUAAUUGCUGCUAAUGUUUUUCUCGUUGGUGGGCACAGGAAACUUGUGUAAUGAAAAACAACAUUAAAAUAGCACUAGGAUUCUGUCUUACAGCACCAAGAGAAAAGAGGCACUAGUCUUCCUGCAUUAAGGAUGCCAGCCACUCCAGCUCCCCAGCCAGCUCUCUUUGAACAUUUUGUACAGUAUCUGCAACAAUACUAACGAAUGCAAUUAGGAUGAAUCACGUAACAAGGAUGAAUCAAGGGUACAAAGGGGAUCUGGCUGCUCAACAGAAAUCUAAAACUAAAACCACCCACUACAUCCCUUUCAGAGCAAGAAUGGUUUGACCGGAAUGCGCUUCAAUAAAGUAUUUUUCUGUUCUUUAGCCUAACGCUGU
Molecule: long non-coding RNA, 1441 nt
Filed under: Anser brachyrhynchus (Pink-footed goose)
Lineage: Eukaryota; Metazoa; Chordata; Aves; Anseriformes; Anatidae
Description: lncRNA (ENSABRG00000015112.1)
Source: RNAcentral